AGUUCUGUAGUUAAAAAAAAAUAACUUCUGUUUUGUUCAUAANCUUCUCAGACAGAAGGUUGCAGGUUCGAUUCCUGGCGGUGCUG
This 86-nucleotide transfer RNA is filed under the name Lingula anatina. It matches the Rfam family "tRNA". Rfam says of the family: Transfer RNA (tRNA) molecules are approximately 80 nucleotides in length. Lineage: Eukaryota; Metazoa; Brachiopoda; Lingulata; Lingulida; Lingulidae. The record is from Rfam by way of RNAcentral.